Small nuclear RNA from Mustela putorius furo (domestic ferret), 107 nucleotides. The record is from Ensembl. NCBI's taxonomy places the organism in Eukaryota, Metazoa, Chordata, Mammalia, Carnivora, Mustelidae.
GUGCUCGCUUCAGUAGCACAUAUACUAAAAUUGGAACGAUACAGAGCAGACAAGCAUAGCCCCCUUGCAAGGAUGACAUGCAAAUCUGUGAGGCAUUCCACAUCUUU